This 462-nucleotide ribosomal RNA is filed under the name uncultured bacterium. Its description in RNAcentral is "partial 16S ribosomal RNA". It matches the Rfam family "Bacterial small subunit ribosomal RNA", at positions 339 to 795 of the family's 1533-position model. The record is from RNAcentral.
CUACGGGGUGCAGCAGUAGAGAAUAUUGCGCAAUGGGCGAAAGCCUGACGCAGCGACGCCGCGUGAGUGAUGAAGGCCUUAUGGGUCGUAAAGCUCUGUAAGGAGGGAAGAACACUUUAUGGUAACGCAUAAAGCUGACGGUACCUCCAAAGUAAGGACCGGCUAAACAGGUGCCAGCAGCCGCGGUAAUACCUGUGGGUCCGAGCGUUGUCCGGAAGGACUGGGCGUAAAGGGUGCGUAGGCGGCCACAUAUGUCAGGUGUGAAAUCCCCGGGCUUAACCUGGGAACUGCGCUUGAAACUGUGUGGCUGGAGUAUGUGAGAGGUAAGCGGAAUUCCCGGAGUAGCGGUGAAAUGCGUAGAGAUCGGGAAGAACACCAGUGGCGAAGGCGGCUUACUGGCACAUAACUGACGCUGAGGCACGAAAGCGUGGGGAGCGAACGGGAUUAGAUACCCGCGUAGUC